This 253-nucleotide ribosomal RNA is filed under the name uncultured bacterium. RNAcentral's name for it is "partial 16S ribosomal RNA". It matches the Rfam family "Bacterial small subunit ribosomal RNA", at positions 524 to 776 of the family's 1533-position model. The record is from RNAcentral.
UACAGAGGGGGCAAGCGUUGUUCGGAAUUACUGGGCGUAAAGGGCGCGUAGGCGGCUUUUCAAGUCGGGCGUGAAAUCUCCGGGCUUAACCCGGAAGGGUCGUUCGAUACUGUUGAGCUAGAGUGUGGAAGAGGCAACUAGAAUUCCGUGUGUAGCGGUGAAAUGCGUAGAUAUACGGAGGAAUACCUGAGGCGAAGGCGGGUUGCUAGGCUGACACUGACGCUGAGGCGCGAAAGCUAGGGUAGCAAACGGG